UCCUGGCGUCAGGAUGAACGCGUGCGGCGUGCUUAACACAUGCAAGUCAACGGGGUGCCUUUGACAGAGGAUUCGUCCAAUGGAUGAGGUUACCUAGUGGCGGACGGGUGAGUAACGCGUGAGUAACCUGCCCUGGAUGGGGAAUAACAGCUGGAACAGCUGCUAAUACCGCAUGAUGCAGUUGGGUCGCAUGGCUCUGACUGCCAAAGAUUUAUCGCUCUGGGAUGGACUCGCGUCUGAUUAGCUAGUUGGUGGGGCAACGGCCCACCAAGGCGACGAUCAGUAGCCGGACUGAGAGGUUGGCCGGCCACAUUGGGACUGAGACACGGCCCAGGCUCCUACGGGAGGCAGCAGUGGGGAAUAUUGGGCAAUGGGCGCAAGCCUGACCCAGCAACGCCGCGUGAAGGAAGAAGGCUUUCGGGUUGUAAACUUCUUUUGUCAGGGACGAAGCAAGUGACGGUACCUGACGAAUAAGCCACGGCUAACUACGUG
RNAcentral lists this ribosomal RNA (492 nucleotides) under uncultured Oscillospiraceae bacterium. RNAcentral's name for it is "bacterial SSU rRNA". It matches the Rfam family "Bacterial small subunit ribosomal RNA", at positions 17 to 507 of the family's 1533-position model. Lineage: Bacteria; Bacillati; Bacillota; Clostridia; Eubacteriales; Oscillospiraceae. The record is from RNAcentral.